Carassius auratus (goldfish) is the source of this 1459-nucleotide long non-coding RNA. RefSeq lists it as uncharacterized. The transcript is spliced from 2 exons. The record is from RefSeq and is a predicted model, not a curated record. NCBI's taxonomy places the organism in Eukaryota, Metazoa, Chordata, Actinopteri, Cypriniformes, Cyprinidae.
GUUGAUCUUCCUUCAAAACAGCCAGUAAAAGAGUCACACGAUAAUGUCAUCACUACGACACGGCAUUAGAUCUGGCUUUUGUUCACACAGCGCUUGUCCCGGGAUUGAACCCAGCAAUGUUAGUACGUCCCCGACCCGAGUUCAAUGCUGGAAUCAAUCUCGGGAUGUGUUUGCUUUCACACAGAAGUAAUGUAGUCGGAGCACGCGGGCGCACUUCCGGAAAAAUCGGCUGAAAAAAAUUCCAAAGACCGGCCGAUUACCAAUUGCGUAUUUAAAGCAAAAACCGUCUGGUUUCCAAUUUAUGGCCGGUCAAUUGGUGCAUCCCUAAUAUUUUUAUGAAAAUGCGAGAGAUUUCUGAACCUCCAUAAAGGCUGCAAUGCAACUGAAAUGUUCCCAGAGUCAUAGUAAGGACAUCAGUAAAACAGUCCAUGUGGCAUCAAUGCUUCAACCACACUUUUACAAAGGUACAAGAAUACAUUUUGUGCAAAGAAAACAAAAAUAGCGACUUUAAUCAACAAUUCUUCUCCAAAUCACAUAUUCUGCCAUUAUGGACAGUAACAAGAGGCAUGAACAUUGCUUUCCUCUGCGUGUAAUCAAGGCUCAGUGCAGGCGUGUUGUAGGUCAGCAGCACCAUGUGCAUGAAUUAUUUACGUGCUGUUGAUAAUGGUGGAAGAUGCGAUUUGGAGAAGAAUUGUUGAAUAAAGUCGCUGUUUUAAUUUUGUUUGCACAAAAAAGUAUUUUUGUUUACUUUGUAAAAUUAUGGUUGAACCACUGGUGUCACAUGGACUGUUUUACUGAUGUCCUUACUAUGUUUCUGGGUCUGGGAACAUUCCAGUUCUGUUGUUAACCAUACAGGGUCCAGAUGUGUAACAUUUUCCACUGUAAUGUUUGUUAGAAUCCCAUCUUGACUGCUUGCCUGGAUUUCCCAUAAGAAGAUGAAUGACUGACUUUUUUUCAUGUAAUUUUAGAAAAAAAAAACAAAGGCUAAAUUUUGUUGUUUUCAUCUUCAGACUAAUGAAAUUGAAGUAUCCAAAUGAAGACCCUAGCAGUAUGGAGUAUAUGGAUAGAGACGUUGCCGGCAAUCAGGAGGUGAUCCAGAAGACUCGUGGGAAUCUAUUUGAAGCUGCAUCAUUGAAGACAGUCCAGCAGAAGUUGGAGUUUUAAAGGAUAAAGUUCUUCAGGACCUAUAGCAGUUUACAGUCUGUAAAACCAUGUUGCUGGGACUGAUUUAUGGACUGAACUUGAGCAACCCUCCUGAACUCAGGUACACAUUUGGAAUACUGAAGAAGUUAUUUCUGGAGCCACUUCCUGUUCCUGGAAUAAGGUUUGAUUGGUUGCCCAUGAAUGCCAAUUAGAAUUGUAUUUGCUAUUUUGUGUAAUUUUGUAAUGUGGUUUAAACUGUAUUUUACUGUGUGUAAUUAUUUAUUGCUUGUUUAACAAAUACACUUUGAUCAUUUGU